GUAGUACGAAAAUACGAUGCAGACUCAUUCCGAGGCUCUGCAAUCGGAAUGAGAACACUCUAAAUCAUUUAACGAGUAUCCAUUGGAGGAAAAGUCUGGUGCCAGCACCCGCGGUAAUUCCAGCUCCAAAAGCGUAUAUUAAAGUUGUUGCGGUUAAAAAGCUCGUAGUUGGAUCUGUGUUUCACGCUGUCGGUUCACCGUUUGGUCGGUGUUUAACUAACAUGUCGUGGUACGUCCUGCCGGUUGGUUAUGGUGCUUUGCAGCGAUGCGGGCGCCAUAUACCAGUUCCAAUCCUGUCGCGGUGCUCUUCACCGAGUGUCGAGGCGGGCCGGCACGUUUACCUUGAACAAAUUUGAGUGCUUAAAGCAGGCUAUAUACGCCAGAAAACUGUGUGCAUGGAAUAAUAUAAUAGGAUCUCGGUUCUAUUUUGUUGGUUUUCAGAGUCCGAGGUAAUGAUUAAUAGGGACAGGCGGGGGCAUUAGUAUUGCGACGUUAGAGGUGAAAUUCUUGGAUCGUCGCAAGACUAACCUAAGCGAAAGCAUUUGCCAAGGAUGCUUCCAUUAAUCAAGAACGAAAGUUAGAGGUUCGAAGGCGAUCAGAUACCGCCCUAGUUCUAACCAUAAACGAUGCCAGCCAGCGAUCUGCCACAGUUCUUUUAUUAUGACUUGGCAGGCAGCUUCCGGGAAACUAAAGCAUUUGGGUUCCGGGGGAAGUAUGGUUGCAAAGCUGNNNCUUAAAGGAAUUGACGGAAAGGCNCCACCNGGAGUGGAGCCUGCGGNUUANUUUGACUCAANACGGGAAAUCUCNCCAGGCCAGNAC
RNAcentral lists this ribosomal RNA (819 nucleotides) under Peripsocus subfasciatus. RNAcentral describes it as "SSU rRNA". It matches the Rfam family "Eukaryotic small subunit ribosomal RNA", at positions 464 to 1229 of the family's 1831-position model. The record is from RNAcentral. Lineage: Eukaryota; Metazoa; Arthropoda; Insecta; Psocodea; Peripsocidae.